This 974-nucleotide ribosomal RNA is filed under the name uncultured Ureibacillus sp. RNAcentral describes it as "bacterial SSU rRNA". It matches the Rfam family "Bacterial small subunit ribosomal RNA", at positions 509 to 1482 of the family's 1533-position model. The record is from RNAcentral. Lineage: Bacteria; Bacillati; Bacillota; Bacilli; Caryophanales; Caryophanaceae.
CAGCCGCCGCGGUAAUACGUAGGUGGCGAGCGUUGUCCGGAAUUAUUGGGCGUAAAGCGCGCGCAGGCGGUCUCUUAAGUCUGAUGUGAAAGCCCCCGGCUCAACCGGGGAGGGUCAUUGGAAACUGGGAGACUUGAGUGCAGGAGAGGGAAGCGGAAUUCCAUGUGUAGCGGUGAAAUGCGUAGAGAUAUGGAGGAACACCAGUGGCGAAGGCGGCUUCCUGGCCUGUAACUGACGCUGAGGCGCGAAAGCGUGGGGAGCAAACAGGAUUAGAUACCCUGGUAGUCCACGCCGUAAACGAUGAGUGCUAGGUGUUAGGGGGCUUGCCCCUUAGUGCUGCAGCUAACGCAUUAAGCACUCCGCCUGGGGAGUACGGUCGCAAGACUGAAACUCAAAGGAAUUGACGGGGGCCCGCACAAGCGGUGGAGCAUGUGGUUUAAUUCGAAGCUACGCGAAGAACCUUACCAGGUCUUGACAUCCCGCUGACCGCCAUGGAGACAUGGCCUUCCCUUCGGGGACAGCGGUGACAGGUGGUGCAUGGUUGUCGUCAGCUCGUGUCGUGAGAUGUUGGGUUAAGUCCCGCAACGAGCGCAACCCUUGUCCUUAGUUGCCAUCAUUCGGUUGGGCACUCUAAGGAGACUGCCGUACAAAUACGGAGGAAGGUGGGGAUGACGUCAAAUCAUCAUGCCCCUUAUGACCUGGGCUACACACGUGCUACAAUGGGCGGUACAAAGGGCUGCGAACCCGCGAGGGGGAGCGAAUCCCAAAAAGCCGCUCUCAGUUCGGAUUGCAGGCUGCAACUCGCCUGCAUGAAGCCGGAAUCGCUAGUAAUCGCGGAUCAGCAUGCCGCGGUGAAUACGUUCCCGGGCCUUGUACACACCGCCCGUCACACCACGAGAGUCUGUAACACCCGAAGUCGGUGAGGUAACCCUUCCGGGAGCCAGCCGCCGAAGGUGGGACAGAUGAUUGGGGUG